This 632-nucleotide ribosomal RNA is filed under the name Amphistegina lobifera. RNAcentral's name for it is "SSU rRNA". It matches the Rfam family "Eukaryotic small subunit ribosomal RNA", at positions 1176 to 1804 of the family's 1831-position model. The record is from RNAcentral. Lineage: Eukaryota; Foraminifera; Rotaliida; Amphisteginidae.
GUGGAGCAUGUGGCUUAAUUUGACUCAACGCGGGGAAUCUUACUAGGUCCGGACCGAUUCUAUGAUCGUCGUACUGUGGGGUGCUACGUGAUUACUGGAUGAGUGGUGCAUGGCCGUUCUUAGUUCGUGGUGUUAAUUGUCUACUUAAUUGUCAUCGGUUCUCGUAUCAUGCGAGAAUUAAUAACGAACGAGAUCGAGACCCGUGGUUGCGUCAUAGUUUAUAUGUGUACGACGUUAACUACGGGGAUCGCGUAACACUCCACGGUACGAUCGAAAGACUCGGCAAUAACAGGUCUGUGAUGCCCUCAGAUGUUCUAGGCUGCACACGUGCUACAGUGUGGCGCUGUAUCGUAGUAUUGUGUGCAUGCAGAGAACUGAUAAGAUCCCCCGCACCGAGUCAUAACUGGUCACACGGUUGGACUCACCGAUUGUCAAUUAUUCGGUAUACUAACUAGGAAUGCCUCGUACCGGGUCGGUUCAACGAGACCCCCUGGAAUCCGUCCCUGCCCUUUGUACACACCGCCCGUCGCUCUUACCGAUGGGCGUGGUUAUUAGCAUCGACGAAUCUCUCUCGAGGUGAAUCGACGCAUGUAACCACGCCUAAAGGAAAGAGAAGUCGUAACAAGGCAUCG